Molecule: ribosomal RNA, 403 nt
Filed under: uncultured bacterium
Lineage: Bacteria
Description: partial 16S ribosomal RNA
Rfam family: Bacterial small subunit ribosomal RNA
Source: RNAcentral
AUUGAACGCUGGCGGCAGGCCUAACACAUGCAAGUCGAGCGAGCGGCGGACGGGUGAGUAAUGUUUGGGGACUGCCCGAUAGAGGGGGAUAACUCCUGGAAACGGUAUCUAAUACCGCAUACUAUCGGAUACCCCUUAUGGGAUUAGCUAGUCGGUGAGGUAAUGGCUCACCUAGGCGACGAUCCCUAGCUGGUCUGCGAGGAUGAUCAGCAACACUGGGACUGAGACACGGCCCAGACUCCUACGGAGGCAGCAGUGGGGAAUAUUGGACAAUGGGCGCAAGCCUGAUGCAGCCAUGCCGCGUGUAUGAAGAAGGCCUUAGGGUUGUAAAGUACUUUCAGUCGGGAGGCGUUACCGACAGAAGAAGCACCGGCUAACUCCGUGCCAGCAGCCGCGGUAAUAC